RNAcentral lists this ribosomal RNA (524 nucleotides) under uncultured bacterium. Its description in RNAcentral is "partial 16S ribosomal RNA". It matches the Rfam family "Bacterial small subunit ribosomal RNA", at positions 28 to 523 of the family's 1533-position model. The record is from RNAcentral.
GACGAACGCUGGCGGCGUGCCUAAUACAUGCAAGUCGAGCGCAGGAAACUGACGGAACUCUUCGGAGGGAAGGCAGUGGAAUGAGCGGCGGACGGGUGAGUAACACGUAAGGAACCUGCCUCAAGGAUUGGGAUAACUCCGAGAAAUCGGAGCUAAUACCGGAUAGUUCAUCGGACCGCAUGGUCCGUUGAUGAAAGGCGCUCCGGCGUCACCUUGAGAUGGCCUUGCGGUGCAUUAGCUAGUUGGUGGGGUAACGGCCCACAAAGGCGACGAUGCAUAGCCGACCUGAGAGGGUGAGCGGCCACACUGGGACUGAGACACGGCCCAGACUCCUACGGGAGGCAGCAGUAGGGAAUCUUCCACAAUGGACGAAAGUCUGAUGGAGCAACGCCGCGUGAGUGGUGAAGGUUUUCGGAUCGUAAAACUCUGUUGUAAGGGAAGAACACGUACGAGAGGGAAUGCUCGUACCUUGACGGUACCUUACGAGAAAGCUACGGCUAACUACGUGCCAGCAGCCGCGGUAA